GUGCCAGCAGCCGCGGUAAUACAGAGGGUGCAAGCGUUGUUCGGAAUUAUUGGGCGUAAAGCGCGUGUAGGCGGCUUAUCAAGUCAGAUGUGAAAGCCCUCGGCUCAACCGAGGAAGUGCGUCUGAAACUGGUGAGCUUGAGUGCCGGAGAGGGUAGCGGAAUUCCGCAAGUAGAGGUGAAAUUCGUAGAGAUGCGGAGGAACACCGGUGGCGAAGGCGGCUACCUGGACGGCUACUGACGCUGAGACGCGAAAGCGUGGGAAGCAAACAGGAUUAGAAACCCUUGUAGUCC
This 292-nucleotide ribosomal RNA is filed under the name uncultured bacterium. RNAcentral's name for it is "partial 16S ribosomal RNA". It matches the Rfam family "Bacterial small subunit ribosomal RNA", at positions 505 to 796 of the family's 1533-position model. The record is from RNAcentral.